GAUGGAGUUGUAGUGGUGCCGGGUGGAGGGGGUGAGAGAUUGGCUAUAAGGAGAAGGCUGACGGCUGCAGCAUGAAGCGCAUUAUUACCUUGUGAUUCCAUGACCCUCCUCUAUGCAUCCCUAACUCUCGAAAGCUGAUUCAGCUUUCAGCUAGUGCUCUGUUCUUUGGGCUGGUGGCCUUUCUGGAAGAAGAGACACUUGGACUGGAUGGGCAGGAACAGGCACUGGAGAGCAUGAAGCAGCACAGAAAUCCUUCAGCAUCCAUCCCCAUCCCUGGCCGAAGGAAGAAAAUGAAGAUGCUGAGACGAGAGCUAAUGAACACACCAAGGGACGUGAGGAGAAGAACAUUAAUUGCCUGUACAGCAGUGCGGCGAGUCUGAGCGAUAAAAAAAGGUGGGAACGACUAAUUUAUGAGUGCAAAUUCUGUCUGGACAGCAUGACUUAAACUUGGGGAGAAAAUCCAUGUGCCUGGAAUAUUAAAAUCAAUAGUUGUAACCUAUUUAGAAAGAACUGAGUGGGCAAAGAAGGUGCAGGAGGGACAAUCAAUAUCAGACGUGACAUUGCUGCGUUCCAAGCACCACUAGAAACUUAAGAGAAAGUGACCUCCAAUACAAAUAAAAGCCGAAAGAAGAUGCUUCUUCAGACCAUCAAAUCUCGCUGACUCCUUAGUCACAUAUCUAUAUAAUAUUUAAGAAAAUUUCCCUAUGCUGUCCUGGGGAACCUCAACUUGAAUUAUGUGAGCUGGAGGGCUCACGCUGCUGGGUUUUGGAAUUUCUAAAUGUCAUAGAAGAGCAUUUCCUAACCAAAACCAGGAGGAUCCUCUGCAGGAUCAUCUUGACAGCUGGCGAACCGAUUAGAGAUCCAAAAACUAGCUACAGCCGGCACAGAGGUGACCCUGUUUCAAUUGUACAUGCUGGGCACAGACAGAAGAAAGCCUGAGCCAACAGUAGGUCCCUUUGCUUUUCGGCGUUGUAAGCCAGGUCACCUGGAGGAUUUUAAACAGAAGAUGUGAAUGAUAUUUGGCAACCCUUUGUUUAAAAGCACUCUGGCUUCUAGGGAAUCUAGUAAAGUCUCAGCGUGGAGAAAGAAGAGGUUAUUCUGGUUAAAAACAGAAGCUCAAAGGGGAGUGAGAGUAGGUCUACAUUCACUCAAAGGAAGGAAGGGAAAGUGGGUAAUGAGGAACGUAAACCAUCCCCAAGCAGAAGGCUGUCAGGUCAAACCUAUGGCUAGCAGAGCUGAGGGCAAUAGGGAAGUGCUCUUUAGAUAUGAGAGACUAAAAGUAGUUGUCUAGACAGAAUAGCAGACAUUAAAAAAAGAAUGCAUAAAAGGCAGACGCUAAAUAUUUAAUCUCUCUAUUUUGGGGGAAAAAAGCUAAGUGGAGUAGCAAUGUAAUAUGAUGAUGUGAAAUAUCUUCAGUUCCAACUCAGGAUGUUAAACAGCUGCUACUACAGCUACAGGAUUUUUUUGAUCAGCAGUCCUCAAUCUUCAGUGCCUGAGAGUUUUAAAAUCUGUCCCAGGAGCACCCCGGGCCGGCAGCGUCUGCGAGGCGAGGAGUUUUCCAGAAGACCGAAGCAGCGCUGACUUUGUGCCAAUGCAUAAGUGUCGAUGAGGGGGAUGACUUGCAUAAUUAUAAAUCUGAUUGUCUGAUGUUGAUUUUGUGAAAAAUAAUGGAAGAGCUGAUAAGGGACUUGAUUAAUAACAAUUUAAGGAGAAUAAUUAAUUACAAUCAACAUGAGUUAAUGGAAAAUAGAUCUUAUUAAAUGAAAUUGAUAUAAUUUUUCAAGAAUGUGAUUAUAGAUUUGAUUGAUUUAGUACAUUUCAUCAACACUGUUACGUUUGACUUCUGCGAGGCAUUUGACUUAAUGUUGUCUCAUUUAUGAGGAAGCUAAAACAAUGUAAAAUCAACACGGCAUGGGCUAAGUGGAUGCAAACCCCACUGAUAUGUUCAAACAUAUCAGAGAAUCAUCCCAAGUGGCUGUGUUUCCAUUCAUCAUUUUUAGCAAAUGGUAGAAAAUCAAAACUCAUUACAAUCAAAGUUUGCUGAUGAGACUGGGAGUAGGACCACGGUCAGUACGUGGGUCGGUCUCUUCCUCAGAUCUGCAUCUUUCGUGAACCAGAUAUAAGCAAACACCAGCCAGUUUAACGUGGGCACACAUGAAGCCACACUUCGAGGAACCAGGAUUUCACCGGGGGGAGGAGGGAUCCUAUUACACAACGCUGGAAACUUGAAAAAAUAGCGGAGUGAAAUAUCUCCGGUGUAACAUCUACUGGGACACUGCAGCUAUUUCUGGUGUCUGCGACUCAAGAAGGAUGGUGAUGAAUGGGAGAGGGCACAUGAGAAUGACUGAAGCGUUGCAAAACAUGCCUUAUAGUGACAGAUUCAAGGACCCCAAUACGCUUAGCUUAACAAAGAGAAGGUUAAGGGAUGGCUUAAUGACAAUCCAGAUGUAUUCAGACAGGGUACAGAAACGCAGAAAGGAAGAGCUCUUCAAUCUAAUAGACAGAGCUAUAAAAAGAGCCAGUGACUGGAAGCUGACACUGUUAAAUUCAGACUGGGAAGGGUGUGCUUUUUAAAUUGGGAGAAGUGACAUCAGAACAACUUCCCAACAGAUGGUUUCAUCAUCACCGGCCAUUUCAAAAUCAUGCUGGGUUUUUUUUUGUUUUAAGCCAUAUCCUGGAUCCACCAACGAUCACUGUGAAUUGACAUACAGACACCCACACCGCAUGGAUGGGGUGGUCCUUCUUUGGUUUUAUACUGUUUCUAAUAAUGAGUAUUUAAGUCAUCAUCCCCGAGCACUGAGUGGGACAAUUCCCUUUUCUCGGAGUUAUUGGUCUGGCCUUGGCAGAGACUCACGCAGACACCUCAGUGUUAUUAGUACUUCAUCUUUGCUAGUGGAAAGGCUGGAAAAGUACUAUAAAACCAAAUAAAAUAAACACAGCCUACAUCCCUCUGCUAUAAAUACCCCAAAAUGCAGUGCCAAAGAGACCAGCUCAAAGCAAGUACAUGAAGGACCUGCAUUCCAGUGGUCCAGUUAAAUCCUGCUGAUCCCCAUCUGCUGCUUUAGUUUGAUAGACUUUUCAGGGAAGUGACACAUCCAUAUUCCUUAAAAGUUGCUAAAACUGUGAGUAAAAAUGUGUAGUUUGAUAACACACUCAUCUACGCCCAGGAAAUCACAGAAUGAGAGUGCGCCACGAUCAUGCACAGCGGGGCUUUCUGCAGGAGCAAUGCCACGUCUCUGCUUUCUGGUUUGGGAGCUGCUGAAAUUUCUCCUUUCAUGGAAAUUCUUCAGCAGGAGCCCUGGCCGCAGACCCCUCACUCGGGCAGCUCCAGGAGCCACCCACUGACUUCUCCUGGGACUGGUCUGCAAGCCCCAGCUGACAUCUUACUGUGCAUCCAGAUGCACUGGGGACCAAAGAGUUAUAUUUCCCAAGUAACAAGCGA
Aptenodytes forsteri (emperor penguin) is the source of this 3442-nucleotide long non-coding RNA. RefSeq lists it as uncharacterized. The record is from RefSeq and is a predicted model, not a curated record. NCBI's taxonomy places the organism in Eukaryota, Metazoa, Chordata, Aves, Sphenisciformes, Spheniscidae. The transcript has 3 exons.